CGUAGGUGAACUGCGGAGGAUCAUUA
This 26-nucleotide ribosomal RNA is filed under the name Gremmeniella abietina. Its description in RNAcentral is "partial 18S ribosomal RNA". The record is from RNAcentral. Lineage: Eukaryota; Fungi; Ascomycota; Leotiomycetes; Helotiales; Godroniaceae.